CAGUAGCCGCGGUAAUACGAAGGGGGCUAGCGUUGUUCGGAAUUACUGGGCGUAAAGGGUGCGUAGGCGGUUCAGCAAGUCUCGUGUGAAAUCUUCGGGCUCAACCCGAAGUCUGCACGGGAAACUACUGGGCUUGAGUAAUGGAGAGGUGAGUGGAAUUUCCGGUGUAGCGGUGAAAUGCGUAGAUAUCGGAAGGAACACCUGUGGCGAAAGCGGCUCACUGGACAUUUACUGACGCUGAUGCACGAAAGCUAGGGGAGCAAACAGGAUUAGAUACCCCGGUAGUCCCUGUCUCUUAUAC
RNAcentral lists this ribosomal RNA (301 nucleotides) under uncultured bacterium. RNAcentral's name for it is "partial 16S ribosomal RNA". It matches the Rfam family "Bacterial small subunit ribosomal RNA", at positions 509 to 807 of the family's 1533-position model. The record is from RNAcentral.